GAUGGAUCCAAGAAAUUGUAUUGGGCAGGGUCAACAUUUUUUGAAGAAAUCAAAGAGUUAUUUCGGUACGACAUCAGAUGAAGUUCAGAACAAAAAGGCUCUGUGGAAAAAAUUUCGGAGUCUUCUAGGAGUACUGAGCUCGUUUAAGGUACCACUACUAUCACAUCCAAGCACACCGCUCUAUUUCCAUCUGAACGAUAUAUCACACUAGAAAACCCAGGACAACUUCAACAAAGUAGUGUUAAGAAAAACAGAAUGUCAAAAUAACUCUAUCCAUCUGUACCUGUUAAGCUCAAUUAUGAAGUUGAAAGACCAUUAAAUAGAAAUAAUUGUUGUUUACUUAAUAAAUAUAAUUCAUAUUUAGAUAUAAAUAUCAAUCGAUAAAGGCGUGCUUAUCUUUCUGAAAAGAAAGUAACCAUAUAAUAAAAUAGAUUUGUUUGUUAAUCUUCAAGAUUCUUCUAAUUACAUAUGGUGUCCAAUAGCUCUAAUAAAUCAAU
Long non-coding RNA from Limulus polyphemus (Atlantic horseshoe crab), 497 nucleotides. RefSeq lists it as uncharacterized. The transcript is spliced from 5 exons. NCBI's taxonomy places the organism in Eukaryota, Metazoa, Arthropoda, Merostomata, Xiphosura, Limulidae. The record is from RefSeq and is a predicted model, not a curated record.